This 647-nucleotide unclassified non-coding RNA is filed under the name uncultured Prochlorococcus sp. Its description in RNAcentral is "partial 16S-23S ribosomal RNA intergenic spacer; may also contain 16S ribosomal RNA and 23S ribosomal RNA". The stretch from base 305 to 377 matches the Rfam family "tRNA". Lineage: Bacteria; Bacillati; Cyanobacteriota; Cyanophyceae; Synechococcales; Prochlorococcaceae. The record is from RNAcentral.
UUGUGGAGGAGGACGCCGAAGGUGGGGCUAAUGACUGGGGUGAAGUCGUAACAAGGUAGCCGUACCGGAAGGUGCGGCUGGAUCACCUCCUAACAGGGAGACAACAAAAUGUUUAAUAUUAUUAUUUUGUCACCUUAGGUCGAUCGGUAUCUCACGUUCUUAAUUUAUUAAGGAUUUCAUUUCCUAAGUUUUUCUAGGUCACACCCAUUAUUUUUCCUGGGCCAUUAGCUCAGGUGGUUAGAGCGCGCCCCUGAUAAGGGUGAGGUCCCUGGUUCAAGUCCAGGAUGGCCCAUCUCUCUAUGUUGGGGGUAUAGCUCAGUUGGUAGAGCGCCUGCUUUGCAAGCAGGAUGUCAGCGGUUCGAGUCCGCUUACCUCCACUGAUUACCACCUCUAGCAUAAUUUGUAAAAAGGAAACUUUUUGAGUUGUGAUCAAUUUCUGAACGAAUCUAGCUUCCUAAUGAAAUCAUUAAGAUGCUGGACUCAUUGAAUUAAUUUCAUUGUUUUCAGAGAACCUUGACAACUGCAUAGUAAAUUUUUAAAGACAAUAAGCAUCUUUAAUGAUGCAGAUUUAUUAUUUGUGCGAAUGCAUUAAUAACAAUUCUAUUAAGCUGAUGCUUCAAUUAUUGAAGUUAUUGGUCAAGCUACAA